UCUCCGUUGGUGAACCAGCGGAGGGAUCAUUACCGAGUUAUCAACUCCCAAACCCCUGUGAACAUACCCAACGUUGCUUCGGCGGGACCGCCCCGGCGCCCUCGGCAUCCCGGAACCAGGCGCCCGCCGGAGGACCCAAACUCCUGUUUAAACUAUAGUGGCAUAUUUCGAGUCUCACAAGAAAAAUGAAUCAAAACUUUCAACAACGGAUCUCUUGGCUCUG
This 223-nucleotide unclassified non-coding RNA is filed under the name plant metagenome. Its description in RNAcentral is "partial contains small subunit ribosomal RNA, internal transcribed spacer 1, and 5.8S ribosomal RNA". The record is from RNAcentral.